This is a long non-coding RNA of Sorghum bicolor (sorghum), 1043 nucleotides long. RefSeq lists it as uncharacterized. Lineage: Eukaryota; Viridiplantae; Streptophyta; Magnoliopsida; Poales; Poaceae. The transcript is spliced from 4 exons. The record is from RefSeq and is a predicted model, not a curated record.
GCCAGGAUGGAACACUCGAAUUAAAAAUAGGUCUAUCUGGCCAUUCAACAACCAGAGAUUGUCCCAUUUUCUUGUUUUUCUGAAUUCUGAGUAAGGAUCCUUUCCUCGUUUGGUAUUCUGUUAUGAAUGUUAGGUUAGUUUUCUUUGCCUCGUAUGCAAUUCAUAAUAAAUUUUUAGGUGAAUAUAGCUGGCCUGUUGGUUGGCGUUGUUCAGUACGACUGGUGCUCUUGAUUUGAGAAGACUCUAUAACAUUGGCAACAAGACAAUUGGAAUGGUUCCUCCUCUGCUAAGUUCCAUAUGUCAUGGACAUUAAUAGCAAUAUACUCGAGCGCAUCAUCUUUGAGAACAAUGAAAACAAGCCUUCCCUGCAUAGGUUAAGCAGAACUUAAAAUGACACUGACAAGAUUACCUGAGAAGCUCAACUGAACCCCCAAAGUUUCAAUAGGCUUACAUAGAAGCUAUAAUGCUCUUCCAUUUAUUGGAGGUAAAUGUACAAGGAUUUGGUAGCCCACGUCAUGCCUGUGUCUUCAGGUUCAAUAGAGCAUAAUAUACAACUGUUGAUUAUAGGGCAGAUGCAACUUCUUUCCAAUCCUUUGUUUUCCCAUAAUUGAUGAAUUUAUCAUAACUACUUGGUUGUUCAUGGACACGUUGUUACUCCCGAAAAUUGACGCUUUGUUCAACCUGCCACCUUGUUGUGUGGUGAUGUAGCCGUGAAGUUACUGGCUGGAGUGUGUCAUCAGAUAGAUUCAGGAGCAGUGUUUCAUCAAGAGGGAAAGGAGAUUUAUAGAAUGUUAAUCUGGGAGCAUGACACGGAAAUGUAACAUCCAGACCAAACUUUGAAUGUUCGGCACCAGUUCUACUUAAGAUUACUCUAUCCAAUAUGUGAAAUAUACAUCACAAAAUACUUAUAUAUCUAUCCUUUUAUCAGCUGAUGCAUGCUAAUAUGUGUAAUAUGUAUCACGAACUUACCAUAUGUAAUAUGUACUUAGAUACUUAUAUAUCAAUAUACUCUAUGCAGCCAUAUGUAAUAUAGACAUCCCACA